GGGCGGUUAGCUCAGCGGGAGAGCAUUCGCUUCACACGCGAAGGGUCACAGGUUCAAUCCCUGUACCGCCCACCA
RNAcentral lists this transfer RNA (75 nucleotides) under Prosthecodimorpha hirschii. RNAcentral's name for it is "Prosthecomicrobium hirschii tRNA-Val". It matches the Rfam family "tRNA". From Rfam's summary of the family: Transfer RNA (tRNA) molecules are approximately 80 nucleotides in length. Their secondary structure includes four short double-helical elements and three loops (D, anti-codon, and T loops). RNAcentral also lists the same sequence under 3 other names. Lineage: Bacteria; Pseudomonadati; Pseudomonadota; Alphaproteobacteria; Hyphomicrobiales; Ancalomicrobiaceae. The record is from RNAcentral.